AAAGAAUUAGUUAAAAAUAUAACAUUAGAAUGUCAAACUAAAAUUAUUAAAUAAUUAAUAUUCUUUA
RNAcentral lists this transfer RNA (67 nucleotides) under Dyscolus diopsis. Its description in RNAcentral is "tRNA-Asp". Lineage: Eukaryota; Metazoa; Arthropoda; Insecta; Coleoptera; Carabidae. RNAcentral also lists the same sequence under 2 other names. The record is from RNAcentral.